GACGAACGCUGGCGGCGUGCCUAAUACAUGCAAGUAGAACGCUGAAGGAGGAGCUUGCUCUUCUGGAUGAGUUGCGAACGGGUGAGUAACGCGUAGGUAACCUGCCUGGUAGCGGGGGAUAACUAUUGGAAACGAUAGCUAAUACCGCAUAAGAGUAGAUGUUGCAUGACAUUUACUUAAAAGGUGCAAUUGCAUCACUACCAGAUGGACCUGCGUUGUAUUAGCUAGUUGGUGGGGUAACGGCUUACCAAGGCGACGAAACAUAGCCGACCUGAGAGGGUGAUCGGCCACACUGGGACUGAGACACGGCCCAGACUCCUACGGGAGGCAGCAGUAGGGAAUCUUCGGCAAUGGACGGAAGUCUGACCGAGCAACGCCGCGUGAGUGAAGAAGGUUUUCGGAUCGUAAAGCUCUGUUGUAAGAGAAGAACGAGUGUGAGAGUGGAAAGUUCACACUGUGACGGUAUCUUACCAGAAAGGGACGGCUAACUACGUG
This 495-nucleotide ribosomal RNA is filed under the name uncultured bacterium. Its description in RNAcentral is "partial 16S ribosomal RNA". It matches the Rfam family "Bacterial small subunit ribosomal RNA", at positions 28 to 507 of the family's 1533-position model. The record is from RNAcentral.